CUAGCUACAGGCCUAACACAUGCAAGUCGAGGGGCAUCAUGGCGGCUGCUUGCAGCCGCUGAUGGCGACCGGCGCACGGGUGAGUAACGCGUAUCCAACCUGCCCAUGACCGGGGGAUAACCCGCAGAAAUGCGGACUAAUACCCCAUAUUGUCCGAGACAGGCAUCUUGCUUGGACCAAAGGAUUUCCGGUCACGGAUGGGGAUGCGUCCGAUUAGCUUGUUGGCGGGGCAACGGCCCACCAAGGCUUCGAUCGGUAGGGGUUCUGAGAGGAAGGUCCCCCACAUAGGAACUGAGGCACGGUCCUAACUCCUACGGGAGGCAGCAGUGAGGAAUAUUGGUCAAUGGGCGGAAGCCUGAACCAGCCAAGUAGCGUGCAGGAUGACGGCCCUAUGGGUUGUAAACUGCUUUUUCACGGGAAUAACUGUCGCGACGUGUCGCGCCUUGCAGGUACCGUGCGAAUAAGGACCGGCUAAUUCCGUGCCAGCAGCCGCGGUAAUACGGAAGGUCCGGGCGUUAUCCGGAUUUAUUGGGUUUAAAGGGAGCGUAGGCCGCAUUCUAAGCGUGCUGUGAAAUCCAGCUGCUCAACGGCUGGCCUGCAGCGCGAACUGGCGUGCUUGAGUACGCGCAACGUUGGCGGAAUUCGUCGUGUAGCGGUGAAAUGCUUAGAUAUGACGAGGAACUCCGAUUGCGAAGGCAGCUGACGGGAGCGUUACUGACGCUGAUGCUCGAAGGUGCGGGUAUCGAACAGGAUUAGAUACCCUGGUAGUUCCGCA
This 775-nucleotide ribosomal RNA is filed under the name uncultured Hallella sp. RNAcentral describes it as "bacterial SSU rRNA". It matches the Rfam family "Bacterial small subunit ribosomal RNA", at positions 36 to 799 of the family's 1533-position model. The record is from RNAcentral. Lineage: Bacteria; Pseudomonadati; Bacteroidota; Bacteroidia; Bacteroidales; Prevotellaceae.